UCUCUUAACCACUUUUCAUUUAUAAGGAAAUAGCUUCUGAGAUAAAGGGAUCAUUAUACCUUCUGCUUUUAGGGUUUGUCUCCAGCUCAACUCCUUUGUCAGAGGACUGGAGGAAUUGUGUUGAACAAAAGGACUCUACCCCUAUCUUCUUCAACAGAUUCACCUCUCUGCUCAUCCCUCUGUUCUGAGAUGCUGAGCGUGUCCACAUCUCCAGUUUCCGUGGAGGUCUCUCUAGAGUGGACCUGAUGCGUGAGUGACAGACCAAAGCUAGUUCAUGGAGCCCUGUGGAAAUAGGUGUAAGCGUCAAGAUAAAAAUAAUGUCACUUUGGCAAGUGCUUUGAGAAGCAUUAUGAGGGAACUACAAGGAAGAAUUACGGAUUUUGAUUCAUAAUAUCCAUGUAAGCAACUCAGAAUUCAAGAGCUGUUUCCU
This 430-nucleotide long non-coding RNA is filed under the name Oryctolagus cuniculus (rabbit). Its description in RNAcentral is "lncRNA (ENSOCUG00000037062.1)". The record is from RNAcentral. Lineage: Eukaryota; Metazoa; Chordata; Mammalia; Lagomorpha; Leporidae.